GUCACUUUGCCGGAGUGGUUAACGGGAUCGCCUGCUAUUCUAGCAUCGUAGCGGUUGGGCUUUGCCCGCGUGUGUUCGAAUCGCACAGGUGACG
Molecule: non-coding RNA, 94 nt
Organism: Heliocybe sulcata
Lineage: Eukaryota; Fungi; Basidiomycota; Agaricomycetes; Gloeophyllales; Gloeophyllaceae
Source: the annotation of a GenBank genome assembly